RNAcentral lists this long non-coding RNA (1055 nucleotides) under Homo sapiens (human). RNAcentral's name for it is "non-protein coding lnc-OR10Q1-2:1". The record is from RNAcentral. Lineage: Eukaryota; Metazoa; Chordata; Mammalia; Primates; Hominidae.
AUGUCUAGUGACUCCAUGGAUUAUAACAGAAAACAUGGCAGCCCAAAGGGAAUGGAUCCAAUGUUGUCAUCAAGAGCAACUGAAAUGAGAUUGUUAACUUUGAUAGUAUGAAUUUAAAGGAGUCUCUUUUAGGGGUAUUCCAUGUUUGUGGUUUUGAGAAGCCUCCAGCUAUUCAGCCCAGAGCUAUUGUUCCUUGUAUUAAAGAUCCAAAACGUAAUUCUGGCACUUGGAGACUAUAUGGGAGAAACUUGUCGUGCCUGUAUUGGUGGAACAAAUGUUCAAAAUUAAAUGCAAAAACUGUAGGCAGAAGCACCACAUACUGUUGCUAGUACACCAUGGAGAGUGUUUGAUAUGCUAAACAUAAGAUAUUUUUCUCCAAGGUGGAUCAAAAUGUUUGUUUUGGAUGAUGCAGAUGAAAUGUUGAGCUGAGGGUUUAAGGAUGAAAUCUAUGAGAUUUUCCAAAAAUUAAAUAGAAGUAUUCAGGUUGUGUUGCUUUCUGCCACAAUGCCAACUGAUGUGUUGGAAGUGACCAAAAAAAUUCAUGAGAGAUCCAGUUUAAAUUCUGGUGAAAAAGGAAGAAGGAAUCAAACAGUUUUACAUUAAUGUUGAAAGAGAGGAAUGGAAGUUGACUACACUUUGUGACUUGUACGAGACACUGACUAUUAUGCAGGCUGUCAUUUUUCCCAAUGCAAGGUAAUGCAAGGUAUGAGGUGGACUGGCUGACUGAGAAAAUGCAUGCCAGAGACUUCAUAAUUUCUGUUCUGCAUGGUGACAUGGACCAGAAGGAGAGAGAUGUUAUCAUGAGGGAAUUCUGAUCAGAGUCAAGUGGUGUUCUGAUCACUACUGGCUUGAUGGUUCACGAGACUGAUGUGCAACAAGUGUCUUUGGUUAUAAACUAUGAUCUAACUACCAAUAAUGAAAACUGUAUUCACAGAAUUGGCAGAGGUGUGGCUAUAAAUUUUGUUACUGAAGAGGACAAAAUAAUUCUUCAUGACAUUGAGACUUUCUACAAUAAUACAGUGGAAGAAAUGCCCAUGAAUGUGACUAACUUUAUU